RNAcentral lists this ribosomal RNA (3124 nucleotides) under Pseudevernia consocians. RNAcentral describes it as "LSU rRNA". The stretch from base 7 to 2799 matches the Rfam family "Bacterial large subunit ribosomal RNA". Lineage: Eukaryota; Fungi; Ascomycota; Lecanoromycetes; Lecanorales; Parmeliaceae. The record is from RNAcentral.
CAAGUAUACAAAGAGAUUGUUAUGGAAUCAUAGCUAUAUAUCAAAGAGAGAUAGCCUUAAUGGUUAUCUAAACUAUACAUGCGCUUUUGCAUGUUCAACUCUAAUAAGAAAUUAUGUGUCUUAAAAAUAAACGAAGUGAAUUGAAAUAUCUUACUAACUUCAGGAAAAUAAAUCAAAAGAGAUUCUUUAAGUAAUGUGAAUGAAAUAAGAAAAGUCUUAAACAAGUAAAAUGGAGUGCAUAUCUGUUUGAAUAAAAGGGGAACCUUCCUCUAAGACUAAAUAUGAUAUAUAUGCGAUAGCGAAUAGUACCGUGAGGGAAAUGAUAUAAAUAGCAGUUUUAUAAGCAGCUCAAAAAAAGUUUAAAUAAACAAUAAGAGCGUACCUUUUGCAUAAUGGGUCAGCAAGUUAAUGUUUGAUGCGAGCAGUUUAGAAGUUUACAAUUAACAGUUACUUUAACUAUUGCGUAGAUAAAACAAUUAUGAUAUAAUGAUGUAGUAUCAAAAAUUAGACCCGAAGCUUAGUGAUCUUACCACAAUCAGGAUUAUAAAAGUCCGAACGGGUUAUCGUUGUAAAGAUAUCCGAAGAAUUGUGGUAAGUUAGUGAAAGACAAUACUGACUAAGAUAGCUGGUUUUCUGCGAAACCUAUCUGAGUAGGUAAUUUAAAUAGAAUAUCAGAAGGUACAGAAUUGUGAUCUCAUGCAACUAGUACUCAUUUUUCCUGUUAAUUUAGGAAAAAAAAUAAAGUGCUUUUUGCGGACAUUGGGGGGUCGUGAAGACUCUAUCAGUGAGUAUUUGUUCUCGGAAGGACUAGAUAUGAAUAUUGAAUAAUCAGACAUAGUACGAAGAGGUUGUAUGUCUAAAGGGAAACAGCCCAGAACAAGAGUUAAUAAGGUUCCAAAAUUAUUGUUAAGUGAAAUUAAGGCAGUACUUAUCCAAAACGGCCAGCGAAUAGGCUUAGAAGCGGCCAUUUUCUGAAGACCUCGUAACAGAGCACUGGUUUUGUUUUAAUGAUAAAACCACCGAUAAUUUAACGGAUCUAAACAAUAUACCGAGACCUUGUCCAAAUAUAUUAAUGUAUCUAAAUUUUACAUUGUAUAUUAGGGGUAGCGGAACAUUGGGGAAGUUUCUUAUUAUGCCUUUAUAAGGCAUAAAAAUAAUUAACAACCCAAGCGAUAAUGCUGACAUGAGUAACGAUAAAGGGGAAUACCCUCGCCUAAAGCUUAUGGAAUUUAAUUAAAGUUACGGCCUCUAAGUUUAUUAUAUAUUUAAUGAAUAAUCUGUUAUUUAUUAAUAAUCCCAAAGGGGGUAAACGAUGAGCAAAUCUAAGAUUUAUAGAAAAUAUCAUUUUUACAUAGUGACAAAUGAUCUGGAAAACUGUAUAUCUCGUUUGCUAAAUAGGAAUAAACUAAAACAGAUGAUAUGUUUAGUAGAUGCUUUACCGUACCUAAAUACUACCACAAGUAAGCAAGUAGAGUAUACGAAGGCGUUCGAGUGAACAAUCAUUAAGGAACUCGGCAAAUUGACUCGCGUAACUUCGGGAGAAGGUGGGCCGUCCCUUUUGAUUAAUAUCAGAUAUGGGAUAGGAGGCACAGAAUGGUGUUGUACGACUGUUUAAUUAAAACAAAGCACGCUGCAAAGAAAUAAAUUCGAAGUAUUGGGUGUGAUCUCUGCCCGAUGGCGGCUGGCUAUCGGAUUUGCUUAGUUGACUAAUAUAAGCUAGGCUUUGAAGGAACCCCCGUUCAAUGGCGGCUUUACCUAUGAGGGCCCUAAGGUAGCGGAAUACCCUGGCCGUUAAAUGCGGUCUUGCAUCAAUGAUGUAACGAUACAACAGCUGUCUCAAUGAUUGGCUCGGUGAAAUUGUAAUAACUGUGCAGAUACAGUUUACCUCUAGUUGGACGAGAAGACCCUAUGCAGCUUUACUGUUGCUAGUUACCGAAUAUGAUAUAAUGAGUUUUAGUAUAUAAGGUAAUUGGUGAGAUAAAAUUGAAACACCUUUACUUCAUUUAUCAUAUUAUAUAAACCUUACCAGGGAAUAGGUCUAGUAAUGGCCAUUUCUUAAAGAAUUCAUGUUAACACAUGAGCACUGGUUGCAACAUUUUAUAGGAACAAUUGCUAGGUGGCAGUUUAUGCGGGGCACAGAUCCCAUAAAAAGUACCUGUCAAGUUUAACGGCUUAAUCUUGCUUUACUGUUUGACUUACACGUCUUUCAGUCGCGUAAGCGGGGCAUAUGAUCACAAGAUGCAGAAAGGAAAGGUCUUGGAUUAUUGAAAAAGCUACGCUAGGGAUAACAGGCUAAUUGCGCCAGAGAGUUCAAAUUGAGUGCGGAGUUUGGCACCUCGAUGUCGGCUUAGCUCAUCCACAUGAAUGCAGGAGUCAUGAAGGGUUCGACUGUUCGUCGAUUAAGGAGCUACACGAGCUGGGUUAAAUACGUCGUGAGACAGUAUGGUUUCUAUCUUCUAGAGGAAGUUAGAAUAAAAUAAGGAUAGCCCCUUGUACGAAAGGAGUUGGGUAUAUUAACCUAUGGUUUACCUGUUGUUUAUCUUUCUAUAUUAAUAUAGUUCUACAAGGACCACAAUGUCUUUUAUAACUGUGAUCUGUAAGUUUAUAGCUGAGUGUUCAAUCCACUAAGUACUAUGACUUACACUGGAAUUUUAUUUUUCACUAAAAUAAGAGGGUAAAAAUAAACUGAAAUAGAUGAUGUACCUGAUAAAAAGGAUAGGCAUGGCAGGAAGGCUACGUUAGUUAAUGAUAAGUGCUGAAUGCAUAUAGGCACGAAACAUACCUUAGGAUAUUCUUAAAUAUAUGUAGUUUAAUACUACGAUUUUAGCUCCUUUUUAUUUUUCAGUUUAUAUAUGCUAUUAAUUUCGAGUAAAAAAAAAAAUUACUAAAUAGACACACCGCGUAUAUCCCUGAAAUUACACUCCGGAUUUUAAUAAAAAUAUAUGACUCAAGAUAAAAACAGGAUCUUAAUUAAUAGGUCUAAGUUUAAAGAAUUGUGAUGUUCUUAGGCGUUAGGUACUAAUUUUAUAACCUACUAAGUAAUACGUUUAUCUAUAUAUUGCUGUUUACAUAUUUGGAUUUAAUAUAUAAUAUUAUUCUAUGCCUAACUAAAUACGAGUUUUAU